This 56-nucleotide small nucleolar RNA is filed under the name groundwater metagenome. RNAcentral describes it as "snoPyro_CD". The record is from RNAcentral.
UUCCGUGAUGAAACCGUCCCAGUCUGAGCAGUGAUGAGAAGGGUAGCUUCUGAGAA